RNAcentral lists this ribosomal RNA (1221 nucleotides) under Lactiplantibacillus pentosus. RNAcentral describes it as "bacterial SSU rRNA". It matches the Rfam family "Bacterial small subunit ribosomal RNA", at positions 38 to 1225 of the family's 1533-position model. Lineage: Bacteria; Bacillati; Bacillota; Bacilli; Lactobacillales; Lactobacillaceae. The record is from RNAcentral.
UGCGGCGUGCCUAUACAUGCAGUCGAACGAACUCUGGUAUUGAUUGGUGCUUGCAUCAUGAUUUACAUUUGAGUGAGUGGCGAACUGGUGAGUAACACGUGGGAAACCUGCCCAGAAGCGGGGGAUAACACCUGGAAACAGAUGCUAAUACCGCAUAACAACUUGGACCGCAUGGUCCGAGUUUGAAAGAUGGCUUCGGCUAUCACUUUUGGAUGGUCCCGCGGCGUAUUAGCUAGAUGGUGAGGUAACGGCUCACCAUGGCAAUGAUACGUAGCCGACCUGAGAGGGUAAUCGGCCACAUUGGGACUGAGACACGGCCCAAACUCCUACGGGAGGCAGCAGUAGGGAAUCUUCCACAAUGGACGAAAGUCUGAUGGAGCAACGCCGCGUGAGUGAAGAAGGGUUUCGGCUCGUAAAACUCUGUUGUUAAAGAAGAACAUAUCUGAGAGUAACUGUUCAGGUAUUGACGGUAUUUAACCAGAAAGCCACGGCUAACUACGUGCCAGCAGCCGCGGUAAUACGUAGGUGGCAAGCGUUGUCCGGAUUUAUUGGGCGUAAAGCGAGCGCAGGCGGUUUUUUAAGUCUGAUGUGAAAGCCUUCGGCUCAACCGAAGAAGUGCAUCGGAAACUGGGAAACUUGAGUGCAGAAGAGGACAGUGGAACUCCAUGUGUAGCGGUGAAAUGCGUAGAUAUAUGGAAGAACACCAGUGGCGAAGGCGGCUGUCUGGUCUGUAACUGACGCUGAGGCUCGAAAGUAUGGGUAGCAAACAGGAUUAGAUACCCUGGUAGUCCAUACCGUAAACGAUGAAUGCUAAGUGUUGGAGGGUUUCCGCCCUUCAGUGCUGCAGCUAACGCAUUAAGCAUUCCGCCUGGGGAGUACGGCCGCAAGGCUGAAACUCAAAGGAAUUGACGGGGGCCCGCACAAGCGGUGGAGCAUGUGGUUUAAUUCGAAGCUACGCGAAGAACCUUACCAGGUCUUGACAUACUAUGCAAAUCUAAGAGAUUAGACGUUCCCUUCGGGGACAUGGAUACAGGUGGUGCAUGGUUGUCGUCAGCUCGUGUCGUGAGAUGUUGGGUUAAGUCCCGCAACGAGCGCAACCCUUAUUAUCAGUUGCCAGCAUUAAGUUGGGCACUCUGGUGAGACUGCCGGUGACAAACCGGAGGAAAGGGGGGGGAUGACGUCAAAUCAUCAUGCCCCUUAUGACCUGGGCUAACACCUUGC